Molecule: ribosomal RNA, 257 nt
Filed under: Lysinibacillus fusiformis
Lineage: Bacteria; Bacillati; Bacillota; Bacilli; Caryophanales; Bacillaceae
Description: partial 16S ribosomal RNA
Rfam family: Bacterial small subunit ribosomal RNA
Source: RNAcentral
ACAGAAAAGGAGCUUGCUCCUUUGACGUUAGCGGCGGACGGGUGAGUAACACGUGGGCAACCUACCCUAUAGUUUGGGAUAACUCCGGGAAACCGGGGCUAAUACCGAAUAAUCUCUUUUNCUUCAUGGNGAAAGACUGAAAGACGGUUUCGGCUGUCGCUAUAGGAUGGGCCCGCGGCGCAUUAGCUAGUUGGUGAGGUAACGGCUCACCAAGGCGACGAUGCGUAGCCGACCUGAGAGGGUGAUCGGCCACACUG